Molecule: ribosomal RNA, 191 nt
Filed under: Pseudomonas aeruginosa
Lineage: Bacteria; Pseudomonadati; Pseudomonadota; Gammaproteobacteria; Pseudomonadales; Pseudomonadaceae
Description: partial 23S ribosomal RNA
Rfam family: Bacterial large subunit ribosomal RNA
Source: RNAcentral
GGUUAAGUGAAUAAGGGCGCACGGUGGAUGCCUUGGCACUAGGAGCCGAUGAAGGACGGGACUAACACCGAUAUGCUUUGGGGAGCUGUACGUAAGCUAUGAUCCAGAGAUUUCCGAAUGGGGGAACCCAACAUCUUUAAUAGGAUGUUACGAUUGUGUGAAUACAUAGCACAUUCGAGGUAGACGCAGAG